RNAcentral lists this ribosomal RNA (393 nucleotides) under uncultured bacterium. RNAcentral's name for it is "partial 16S ribosomal RNA". It matches the Rfam family "Bacterial small subunit ribosomal RNA", at positions 523 to 918 of the family's 1533-position model. The record is from RNAcentral.
AUACGGAGGAUGCGAGCGUUAUCCGGAUUUAUUGGGUUUAAAGGGAGCGUAGGUGGAUUGUUAAGUCAGUUGUGAAAGUUUGCGGCUCAACCGUAAAAUUGCAGUUGAAACUGGCAGUCUUGAGUACAGUAGAGGAGGGCGGAAUUCGUGGGGUAGCGGUGGAAUGCUUAGAUAUCACGAAGAACUCCGAUUGCGAAGGCAGCUCACUAGACUGUUACUGACACUGAUGCUCGAAAGUGUGGGUAUCAAACAGGAUUAGAUACCCUGGUAGUCCACACAGUAAACGAUGAAUACUCGCUGUUUGCGAUAUACAGUAAGCGGCCAAGCGAAAGCAUUAAGUAUUCCACCUGGGGAGUACGCCGGCAACGGUGAAACUCAAAGGAAUUGACGGGG